GUUUUACAAGUUAUGCUGAAGACACUGUAGGUGGCCUUAUCCGUGUUUUCUUCUAGUUCUAAUGUUCCCCUUUUUAGAAUGAUUUAUGGACUGAUGAUUCGUGGGAAAAGUCGAAACGAGUUCAAAUGGCUGACUCUUCCCUUCCUACUUUAGCUUAGCUUGUCUUUUCCGAUUGCUGUUCAAAACUGGUAGAUGGGUGUGUUUGUUUUUAUGCAUUUUAUUGAGCCGGUGGUUGCGGUUCAAAACUAGCAAUUUUCUUGAGACCGCAAAAGGACAGUAAAUACAGACUGUACGUACAGUACUGGAACACCUACCACCAUCGGCUAUAGCGUUAUCAUCUUGAGCAUCGCAAAUAUCUUCCAAGGGUUCCAAAUAUCUUGAUAGAAUGUUUAUCAUGAAGAAGAAACCUGCAAAAAACCCAAAUAAGAAGAAACCUAGAAGAAGAAACACAAAGAAGAUCAAACUGAACUAUUUAUUACAGGUCCAAAAGUAUGUUCUAUUUCAACUAAAUCCUUUAACGUUGAAAUCAUUUAUUUUCCUUUCUGGGCCAGUCCGGACUCCAGACUUUUGGGCUUGUGUAGAUAAUCCAUUUAACCUGAUAAAUGAAUCCAUUAGUGAUAUUUAUUUUAUUAAACAUGAUUAAGUAAUAAUUGUGAAGUAAAUGUUAUUUAUUUAUAACUAAUAACCUUAAAAUUUAUAUCGGAUCCAUUUUCGAUUCGACACGUCCGUUCCGGCGACUCGCUGCGAAUACCAUUGCGAGUGGAGUUCGGGAGUGCCGUCCACCAUCGUGAGGCCGGAACUGGAAUGGAGUUCGUGAAUCGUGAGUUCGCGAUGGGUCAAAAACCCGGAACCACCAACUAUAUCUCUGGGAACUCAACACGGAUUUCAGGUACCGUCCUCCGUUCCCCCGCAAUGCAGUUCCUCACGCGUCGACCGUCAGAUUGCCUUCAAUGACCAUCUGUGUAAGGUAUCGCACCCAGUUUCAGAGACCGACACCGCGUAUUAAUAGAUGUUCUUGUUACUUUUAUUGUCCUUUCUUGUUACCUGGAUCCAGAUGUAGACCAACCCAGGUCUGUUUUGGCCCAUUCUUUCUUUAUUAAAUAAAUAAAUAUUGUCC
Molecule: long non-coding RNA, 1117 nt
Filed under: Zostera marina
Lineage: Eukaryota; Viridiplantae; Streptophyta; Magnoliopsida; Alismatales; Zosteraceae
Description: long non-coding RNA (ZMAR_LNC003725)
Source: RNAcentral